GAUGAACGCUAGCUACAGGCUUAACACAUGCAAGUCGAGGGGCAGCAUGGUCUUAGCUUGCUAAGGCCGAUGGCGACCGGCGCACGGGUGAGUAACACGUAUCCAACCUGCCGUCUACUCUUGGACAGCCUUCUGAAAGGAAGAUUAAUACAAGAUGGCAUCAUGAGUCCGCAUGUUCACAUGAUUAAAGGUAUUCCGGUAGACGAUGGGGAUGCGUUCCAUUAGAUAGUAGGCGGGGUAACGGCCCACCUAGUCUUCGAUGGAUAGGGGUUCUGAGAGGAAGGUCCCCCACAUUGGAACUGAGACACGGUCCCAACUCCUACGGGAGGCAGCAGUGAAGAAUAUUGGNUCAUGGGCGAGAGCCUGAACCAGCCCAGUAGCGUGAAGGAUGACUGCCCUAUGGGUUGUAAACUUCUUUUUAUAAAGAAAUAAGUCGGGUAUGGAUACCCGUUUGCAUGUACUUUAUGAAAUAAGAUCGGCUAACUCCCGUGCAACAGCCGCGGUAAUACGGAAGAUCCGAGCGUUAUCCGAUUUAUUGGGGUUUAAAGGGAGCGAAAAUGGAUGUUUAGUCAGUUGUGAAAGUUUGCGGCUCAACCGUAAAAUUGCAGUUGAUACUGGAUAUCUUGAGUGCAGUUGAGGCAGGCGGAAUUCGUGGUGUAGCGGUGAAAUGCUUAGAUAUCACGAAGAACUCCGAUUGCGAAGGCAGCCUGCUAAGCUGCAACUGACAUUGAGGCUCGAAAGUGUGGGUAUCAAACAGGAUUAGAUACCCUGGUAGUCCACACGGUAAACGAUGAAUACUCGCUGUUUGCGAUAUACGGCAAGCGGCCAAGCGAAAGCGUUAAGUAUUCCACCUGGGGAGUACGCCGGCAACGGUGAAACUCAAAGGAAUUGACGGGGGCCCGCACAAGCGGAGGAACAUGUGGUUUAAUUCGAUGAUACGCGAGGAACCUUACCCGGGCUUAAAUUGCAGAUGAAUUACGGUGAAAGCCGUAAGCCGCAAGGCAUCUGUGAAGGUGCUGCAUGGUUGUCGUCAGCUCGUGCCGUGAGGUGUCGGCUUAAGUGCCAUAACGAGCGCAACCCUUGUUGUCAGUUACUAACAGGUCAUGCUGAGGACUCUGACAAGACUGCCAUCGUAAGAUGUGAGGAAGGUGGGGAUGACGUCAAAUCAGCACGGCCCUUACGUCCGGGGCUACACACGUGUUACAAUGGGGGGUACAGAGGGCCGCUACCACGCGAGUGGAUGCCAAUCCCCAAAACCUCUCUCAGUUCGGACUGGAGUCUGCAACCCGACUCCACGAAGCUGGAUUCGCUAGUAAUCGCGCAUCAGCCACGGCGCGGUGAAUACGUUCCCGGGCCU
This 1357-nucleotide ribosomal RNA is filed under the name uncultured bacterium. RNAcentral describes it as "bacterial SSU rRNA". It matches the Rfam family "Bacterial small subunit ribosomal RNA", at positions 28 to 1381 of the family's 1533-position model. The record is from RNAcentral.